GUGUAGCUCAGUGGUAGAGUUCAUGCUUAGCAUGCAUGAAGUCCUGGGUUCAAUCCCCAACAC
This 63-nucleotide transfer RNA is filed under the name Camelus bactrianus (Bactrian camel). It matches the Rfam family "tRNA", at positions 5 to 66 of the family's 71-position model. From Rfam's summary of the family: Transfer RNA (tRNA) molecules are approximately 80 nucleotides in length. The record is from Rfam by way of RNAcentral. RNAcentral also lists the same sequence under 2 other names. Lineage: Eukaryota; Metazoa; Chordata; Mammalia; Artiodactyla; Camelidae.